GAUGUGUCUGUGUACCCUGCAGCUGGCCUCUUCCUUUUCCUUGAUUGCUUAUUGAUCUAUUGAUGACUCUGGGACCAUCACACUUGUCACUUGUGCUUGUUCUGAGGCUCAUGUAUUGUGCUGUAUGUAGGCACAUUAAAGAGCAUUAUAAGAUAAUAUCAUUUGUGUAUAUUGUUUGGAGAGGCACUUUCUCAAAAUAUAUUUUGCCCUAUACUUGAGUUGCUUUCUCUUUUCUUUUCCCAGUUCUGGGGACCGAAUCCUGCCUUGUGCAUGCUAGGCAGGCAUUCUAGCAUUGAAUGCUCCGUGGCUCAGGUGGUGAGUUUGCUGCUGCUGUGAGUGUGGACCCCACUGAUAACCACAUUAGCAGAUGCAGCUCUGCAGGUGUUUCCUCCACAAUUGCAGCUGAUCUGUUCCUUCUUAAAGGUCUUUUAUACCAGUGAAUUUUUUUUAAAAAAACUACAUCCAGUUUAGGUUUUCUCCCCAUGAAUGAUACUUAGGUGGAAUAUGCAGAAAACCCAGGCUUGAUUUCUCUCUGUGUUUAGAGUACCUCAGUAGCCCUGGUAAAAUUGUGUGAUGGUUUUCUUAAUACACACUGCAUGACCAAAGGCUUGAUAAGGAGCAUCCCAGUCUGAUGUCCUAAUUCAGCGGCACUCUCUUCUCCACCAAAUAAUCUUAAAUAAAUUCUCAAGAGACCUUCACCAUAAUUUUCUUUCAAGGGAAUGUCAGGAAAAGAUUUUGCAAAGAUCUCAAUGUGGGUUAUAACACAGACUUCUGCUUUUGUGGCAAAGCUUGGAAGUCCUCUGACAAAUCUUAAAAUUGAUACACAAAUCACUUUCUGUGAACUAAUCAAAACAAACAAACAUACAAAAAAACACCUUUAUGUAUACCCCUACAAAAAAUAUAAACCUCCAUCCCUGUCCCACUGGAUGUAAAUAAAGAUCAAUGAAAUUCAAAGCAGUGAUCCAAAAAAUUUUGUGAUACCCCUCAGAACCCUGCAGCUAAUCAAUGUGCUCCUGGAACCUGCCUUGGGUGUCUAGCCUCAUGUGCCCUACAUCACUAAUAAAGCUACAGCCUCCAAUCAGGUGAUAUUGUGCAGUACUUGCUGUGGAGAGGGCUGUUUCUGCUCAGGCUAAAGGAUUCAGUUACUUGUCCUAAGGAUUCAAAGCCUCCUGAGCAAAACCUCACCCACAACCUAUUCACGUGUCAUGGAUCUUGUGUGAUCAUUGGUGCGAGUUCCUUACAUACUUGUGUCCAAAUAUUGAAGUUUGCCAACAUGCCAAAGAUGGGUUGAUUGUCACUGCUACCUCUGUUGCAGCCAUUUGCUGUGUCUCAGUGUUUAUUUGGAAAGGAAGGCCAAAAGAGUGUGCUGUGGCCCUUUUGUUUUUGAUAAAUACAGCCUAAGCCAUCCAGUAAAACUUCAUUAAAAGAUAGUUUUGAACGCUUCCCAGGAUUUCCAAAAACUUUCUUUGCAGCUAAUGAGUCAGUGUGGCAAUUUCCUAGUUUUACAUUUUUGAUUUAGUAGAAAUAUUGCAUAGAGUUGUGUGAGCACUUGAUGCAGUCUGGACUUCAUUGUAAUAAAUCCAUUUGCCAAAGGCAGUAGUUGCAGGCUUGUUCCUGGGCAGAAUGAGGGACUGGAGUGAAUGCAACUGUCCUGGGGUGUGGGCAUUGUUUGUAGGAGUUCAGUCAUGGUGAGUACAUCAGUUUAGGAAUCAGACUCCUAGGAGGGCUACAUAAUCUCCUGACAGGACCUGCCUGUCCCUUUUGGACAAUAGUGUUGUCAUGUGAGCUGGCAGGUGGAUGGUUACCUUCUGAUGGAUUUGGGUUUGUAGCUGAGCAAGUAGUGAGAAUGUACAAUGAUUAAAUGAGAAUUAAAAUAUUCUUUGUGAUACCAAAGACAUAAUUUGGGGGCCAAACAAAAUAACAAGUAACCUCUUGGACCUUGAAUCACAUAUUUUCCUUCAUGUAUGCAUUUUCUUACAAACUUUUGUAGUGUGAUGCUUAUGUGGAACAAACUGAGAUAAACAUGGAGAGGUUUAUUUAAUGGUACAGUGUACUAGAAGUUUUAAAGACUUGCAGCAGGCUUAGAUUCCACUAUUGUUAAAAUUUUAUGAAAGACUCUGCAAUUCUCAAAAUUCUUGAGAAUCCCCAGGUGCUGUGGCAUACACCUGAAAUACCAGUGGCUCAAGAUUCUGAGGCAGGAGGAUUGUGAUAUUUUUCAACUUUUUUUAAAGAGAGAGAAUUUUUUAAUAUUCAUUUUUUAGUUUUCAGUGGACACAACAUCUUUAUUUUAUUUUUAUGUGGUGCUGAGGAUUGAGCCGAGCACCCCACGCAUGCCAGGUGAGCAUGCUACCAUUUGAGCCACAUCCCCAGCCCAUCUUUUCAUUUUCUUAAAAAUUUAUAUAUAUAAAUAUAAUUUUUUUUCCUCAGAAUCAAACCCAGUGCCUCACAUAUGCUAGGCACAUUGUCAACCACUGAGCCACAACCUUAGCCCAAGGGUUCUGAUUUGUAAGGUGGCCUCCCUGGAUAACAAGGAGUAAAGAACUCAGUGAGACCCUGUCUCUAAGAAGUAACUCAAAUAAUAAAUAAAAAAGAAGGCUGGGAAGUGGCUGAGUGGUUGAGUGCCACUGAGUUUGAUUCACAGUACCCCCAAGAAAAAUGCAUUAGGAACCAAGUUUUAAUAAACCGUAUGAUGGGUGGAUGGGCUUGUCCAUAAUAUUGUUUUCUUCUUUGGAUUCUCAGGCAUGGUUUACUAAUUCAGGAACUCUGUAAAAUUCACCAAUUCAAUAAAAGCAAGUGUAUGGUUUUAAAAAAUAAUAAUAUAGCAAGGUCCAUGAGGGGCCGCUUCCUGCUCUGGGAACCUCAGUAAUUGGUAGUCAUCACAAGUGGCCAUCAUGUCCUUAUCAUAAAGAGUUUGUGAAAGCUUCUAUUGUGCAGGAGUCUCUGAAGGUGCUAAAAGUGCCUGUCUUUUCAGAUCCUUUUGGUGAAGGAAUUCCUUAUGGAGGUCUCUGAUUUAGAGAUGAUGUCAUUGGGGAGCUCAAGUGAAACUGAUAAGUGAUGAACACAUUGCCACAUGGUCCAGGGCAGCCUAAAAGGUGUCAGAUUUUCUUGUCUUCAAGGAGUGUGUCAAGCAUCCUUGGAGGAGGAUGUCAGCAAUUUACGAUGUGCUCCUGCAAAAACGUCUCUGCUCAGGUCAUUUGUGAAAAGCUGAUGAGUAGUCUGAAAAUUUAUUUGGUCCUGUUAGUGAUAAGGACAAUUUGCAUUAGAAUGCUAUUGAAAUAGAGAAAACAGAAAAUAUUAGCCAAUUCUGAGGCGAAAAUAUAUACCAGUUGUGAUUAAAUGGGAUCAGUAAUUUUCAUUAUAUUUGGUAUUGGGUAUGGAUACUUACAGACAGGAACAGAUCAUCAAAGUAGCAGUAAUCUACCCAAGGCAAAUGUUGAGAUAGAGAAUAUCUGUGUUUCUGUGGUUGGUAUUUUAUUUUUUCUUCUGUGAUGGUCAGUGACUGUGUUUAAACAUUUCACGAUGCCCAGAUAGAACUCUAAUUUUUCCAUAUUUAAUGAAUUAGAAAAUGUUAGACUAUUAAAUAUUCUGAGAAGCACAUCAGAUUUUAUAGGAAUUUUUAGUUUCCAUAUACCUUGUUUUAACAUAUCAAAAAAUAUAUGAAGUGAUUUAAUUAGAGACUGAUGGUGUUUAUUUAUUUAUUUUUGUUACUGGGGAUUGCUGCGGCAAGUGUGGUGAAGCUAGCAGGUUCUGGCAAGGUUUGAUGGGACAUUGGAAGAAAUAAAGAGUCACACAUGCAGAAGAUACAACAUCUGGGAUCGUGUAGCACUGCUUUAUGAUGGAGCAGCAGGUCUAAAAAAUUAUACCAGGGGGGCUGGGGAUGUGGCUCAAGUGGUAGCGCGCUCACCUGGCAUGUGUGGGGCACUAGGUUUGAUCCUCAGCACCACAUAUAAAUAAAAUACAAGAUGUUAUGUCCACCAAAAACUAAAAAAUAUAAAUGAACAAAUAUUAAAAAUUAUCUCUCUCUUUAAAAAAAAGGA
Molecule: long non-coding RNA, 4037 nt
Filed under: Marmota monax (woodchuck)
Lineage: Eukaryota; Metazoa; Chordata; Mammalia; Rodentia; Sciuridae
Source: RNAcentral